RNAcentral lists this long non-coding RNA (527 nucleotides) under Chrysemys picta bellii (western painted turtle). RNAcentral's name for it is "lncRNA (ENSCPBG00000010649.1)". The record is from RNAcentral. Lineage: Eukaryota; Metazoa; Chordata; Testudines; Emydidae.
UGUUGUUACAUAGUGGUUACUGUGUUUCUUUUUCUUCUGUAAGGGAGAGUCAGCCAUCAUGGCUCCAACUUUGUGUGUGCAUCUGUGUUUCCAAUCAGGAUUUUGUGCUAUAUCCACCGUACAUAGCAAAUGGCAAUGAGGAUUUCGAGAACCUUCUAUGUAUCAGAGUAGCAAGCCAAUCUAUCACAUUGCUUGCAACCGGAAGGAGGGGAAACGGGGAGGGGAGUCUGAUACAACUAGGAAGAAGCUGUUGGAGGAAAAUCCCUAACCUUCUAUCACUAGGAUGGAUAGAUGAGUGUAGACUAAACUGUUAUCUGUAUAAGCUACAUGACAAGAGAUAGAAUCAGCAUUCAAGUUUGAUACUGUACCACCAACGUGACUGAGAAUUAGGCCACGGACUUCAGUGGGAAUAGGAUCAGGCCCUUAGAUACCAAGAUCAUAGGCACCUUCGAAGUACCUAACACAGGUAAGAUAGAAACAAUGACAUCUGCUUUGAGAAGGAAUAAAAGGAAUCUCUCCUGAGCUCA